This 324-nucleotide ribosomal RNA is filed under the name uncultured bacterium. RNAcentral's name for it is "bacterial SSU rRNA". It matches the Rfam family "Bacterial small subunit ribosomal RNA", at positions 28 to 334 of the family's 1533-position model. The record is from RNAcentral.
GAUGAACGCUGGCGGCGUGCUUAACACAUGCAAGUCGAACGAAGCACUUUAUUUGAUUUCUUCGGAAUGAAGAUUUGGUGACUGAGUGGCGGACGGGUGAGUAACGCGUGGGUAACCUGCCUUAUACAGGGGGAUAACAGUUGGAAACGACUGCUAAUACCGCAUAAGCGCACAGGACCGCAUGGUCUGGUGUGAAAAACUCCGGUGGUAUAAGAUGGACCCGCGUCUGAUUAGCUAGUUGGUGAGGUAACGGCCCACCAAGGCGACGAUCAGUAGCCGACCUGAGAGGGUGACCGGCCACAUUGGGACUGAGACACGGCCCAA